This 135-nucleotide non-coding RNA is filed under the name Proteiniclasticum ruminis. RNAcentral describes it as "Clostridium sp. D3RC-2 Bacterial small subunit ribosomal RNA". It matches the Rfam family "Bacterial small subunit ribosomal RNA", at positions 1 to 126 of the family's 1533-position model. Lineage: Bacteria; Bacillati; Bacillota; Clostridia; Eubacteriales; Clostridiaceae. The record is from Rfam by way of RNAcentral.
UAAAUUGAGAGUUUGAUCCUGGCUCAGGACGAACGCUGGCGGCGUGCCUAACACAUGCAAGUCGAGCGGAGAAUGCGGAUAUGUUUACAUAGAAGCGUUCUUAGCGGCGGACGGGUGAGUAACACGUGGGUAACC